UGCAUCUUAAAUUUUCCCACAAAAAAUAAAGAAAUUGCCAGGUUAGACAGGUGCAAAAAUAAAUCCUCUUUUGCAACCCAGAACUCAUGGUUCAGUAAUGAGUUCUGAUACAUACAAGAAGGAAUAUA
RNAcentral lists this small nucleolar RNA (128 nucleotides) under Neotoma lepida (desert woodrat). RNAcentral describes it as "Small nucleolar RNA SNORA40". It matches the Rfam family "Small nucleolar RNA SNORA40". Rfam says of the family: The snoRNA ACA 40 belongs to the H/ACA family of snoRNAs and guides the pseudouridylation of 28S rRNA subunit at position U4565. The record is from Rfam by way of RNAcentral. Lineage: Eukaryota; Metazoa; Chordata; Mammalia; Rodentia; Cricetidae.